Molecule: ribosomal RNA, 253 nt
Filed under: uncultured bacterium
Lineage: Bacteria
Description: partial 16S ribosomal RNA
Rfam family: Bacterial small subunit ribosomal RNA
Source: RNAcentral
UACGAAGGGGGCUAGCGUUGCUCGGAAUUACUGGGCGUAAAGCGCACGUAGGCGGGUCGUUAAGUCAGGGGUGAAAUCCUGGAGCUCAACUCCAGAACUGCCUUUGAUACUGAGGAUCUUGAGUUCGGGAGAGGUGAGUGGAACUGCGAGUGUAGAGGUGAAAUUCGUAGAUAUUCGCAAGAACACCAGUGGCGAAGGCGGCUCACUGGCCCGAUACUGACGCUGAGGCACGAAAGCGUGGGGAGCAAACAGG